RNAcentral lists this ribosomal RNA (497 nucleotides) under uncultured bacterium. RNAcentral describes it as "partial 16S ribosomal RNA". It matches the Rfam family "Bacterial small subunit ribosomal RNA", at positions 28 to 507 of the family's 1533-position model. The record is from RNAcentral.
GAUGAACGCUGGCGGCGUGCCUAAUACAUGCGAGUCGAGCGAACGGACGAGAAGCUUGCUUCUCUGAUGUUAGCGGCGGACGGGUGAGUAACACGUGGAUAACCUACCUAUAAGACUGGGAUAACUUCGGGAAACCGGAGCUAAUACCGGAUAAUAUUUUGAACCGCAUGGUUCAAAAGUGAAAGACGGUCUUGCUGUCACUUAUAGAUGGAUCCGCGCUGCAUUAGCUAGUUGGUAAGGUAACGGCUUACCAAGGCAACGAUGCAUAGCCGACCUGAGAGGGUGAUCGGCCACACUGGAACUGAGACACGGUCCAGACUCCUACGGGAGGCAGCAGUAGGGAAUCUUCCGCAAUGGGCGAAAGCCUGACGGAGCAACGCCGGGUGAGUGAUGAAGGUCUUCGGAUCGUAAAACUCUGUUAUUAGGGAAGAACAUAUGUGUAAGUAACUGUGCACAUCUUGACGGUACCUAAUCAGAAAGCCACGGCUAACUACGUG